GGGGUCGUAGCCCAAUUGGCAGAGGCACGUGCCUUAGGAGCACGCCAGUGCGGGUUCGAGUCCCGCCGACCCCA
RNAcentral lists this transfer RNA (74 nucleotides) under Frankiaceae bacterium. RNAcentral describes it as "tRNA-Leu". It matches the Rfam family "tRNA". From Rfam's summary of the family: Transfer RNA (tRNA) molecules are approximately 80 nucleotides in length. Their secondary structure includes four short double-helical elements and three loops (D, anti-codon, and T loops). Lineage: Bacteria; Bacillati; Actinomycetota; Actinomycetes; Frankiales; Frankiaceae. The record is from RNAcentral.